CGCUAUCAUUCCUACGGGAGGCAGCAUGGGGGAAUAUGCACAAUGGGCGCAAGCCUGAUGCAGCCAUGCCGCGUGUGUGAAGAAGGGUUUCGGCUCGUAAAGCUCUGUUGUUAAAGAAGAACACGUAUGAGAGUAACUGUUCAUACGUUGACGGUAUUUAACCAGAAAGUCACGGCUAACUACGUGCCAGCAGCCGCGGUAAUACGUAGGUGGCAAGCGUUAUCCGGAUUUAUUGGGCGUAAAGAGAGUGCAGGCGGUUUUCUAAGUCUGAUGUGAAAGCCUUCGGCUUAACCGGAGAAGUGCAUCGGAAACUGGAUAACUUGAGUGCAGAAGAGGGUAGUGGAACUCCAUGUGUAGCGGUGGAAUGCGUAGAUAUAUGGAAGAACACCAGUGGCGAAGGCGGCUACCUGGUCUGCAACUGACGCUGAGACUCGAAAGCAUGGGUAGCGAACAGGAUUAGAUACCCUGGUAG
This 472-nucleotide ribosomal RNA is filed under the name uncultured bacterium. RNAcentral describes it as "bacterial SSU rRNA". It matches the Rfam family "Bacterial small subunit ribosomal RNA", at positions 328 to 793 of the family's 1533-position model. The record is from RNAcentral.